Punica granatum (pomegranate) is the source of this 1377-nucleotide non-coding RNA. The record is from RefSeq and is a predicted model, not a curated record. NCBI's taxonomy places the organism in Eukaryota, Viridiplantae, Streptophyta, Magnoliopsida, Myrtales, Lythraceae.
ACAGACAGGGUCAAGAAGAUGACGUGGCAUAUUGGGAGGCUGGCGUCGAUUGUUUUGUGGUCAGGAAGGCAGGGUCCAGAAGGUCGCGCUUCUCCGGUGCGAGAAGAUUUCGCCCGCCGGCGGCCGAGGAAACGGCUUUCUUACUGCUGAAGUUCAAUGAGCUUCCUCAGGAAGCGCAUGCGCGUGAACAACAAGAAGCCCUCUCACGGCCCCAUCCACUUCCGAGCUCUUGCUAAAGAUUUUCCGGCGCACUGGCCGCGGGUACAUUUGAUUGAAUCUCCCCGCCUCUGUGGAUCUUGUAGUUCGAUUCGACUGUGGGAUUGUGAAAAUUCCUCAGUGGAUUUGGUUUUAGCUGAACAGUGGAUGGAUUGUGAUCGGAAUUCACAUAUGGUGAUUGAACGAUGAUUCUGCACAUUACCAAGCGGGGAGCAGCUGCUCUUGCCUGGCUGAAGGCUUACGAGGGUAUCCCUCUGCCUUAUGACAAGGGUGUUGAGGCUUCUGAAGGGACACAAGUACUGUCUGAUGGAAACACUAUGAUACCAUCAGAGAUGUAAAUAAAGAAACCAAAGCAGCUGAGAACUCGAAGAUGAAAGUCUCAAUUUGUAAGGUCCUACUCCUGUCAGCUCACGAGAUGUAGUCAAUCUUCCUCUGUUUUUUUGCCAAGUGCAACUUGGCAAAUGGCAAUACUAAAGCUGAUGAAACUGUCCCUGCGGAGCUUUCGUCAAUGGUUACCAAACAGGACAGAUGGGCUGCAAGAAGGGCUGCAUAAUAAUAGCAGUCCCUUAGCUGAAGAUAAGGUCCUCAAGGGGAAGAGGAAGUGGUGAGGAGAAAAUCCCUUGCAACUUCAUUUAGGUCUGUUACUGGCCGCUAUAGGACUAGUCUAGCUAGUGCCAAUGUCAAUAGAGACAUAGAUUGUUGUAAUGUUGGUCGAGAUGAAGCUGAGAUGGAAUUGCUGCAAUUUCUUGAGCCACUCUUCCCGUUAAGUAAAAGUACAGAGGAUUCAGCAAGAAAGGAAAUUCACAUGUCGACAAUGGUGAAGGGACAAAAGUUAAUGAAUUUCAGUUGCUAUAGCAGAACUGCUUAUGAUCAUCAGGAUCAGUGUGUAGAACUGCUUAUGAUCAUUAGCUUUACUAGAUGUUGCAAGUUUUGUGCGUCAAGGAAUGCUUGAUCCUUGUUUUCGAACAUCAGACAGAUCCGAAAACAGAAAUGUGACUUAUUUUGUGCUUGUCUGAUGCUUGUCGAUUUCAGCUAGGGACAUUUCUUUGGAGGUUUAUGCUUUAGAAGGAUGGAGAUUGUUAUAGCAUAGAAUGUUUGGAUUGCUAGUGACCGCAGUUGUAGAAGAAUAUGAUAAUAGAAUUGCAACAAUCUAAUCUCCAA